This 562-nucleotide long non-coding RNA is filed under the name Mus pahari (shrew mouse). RNAcentral's name for it is "lncRNA (MGP_PahariEiJ_G0003739.1)". Lineage: Eukaryota; Metazoa; Chordata; Mammalia; Rodentia; Muridae. The record is from RNAcentral.
AGGCGAUUCUUGACUUGCCGUGGCUGGCUGACCAAGACUGCUCGAGGGUUCCAGGAGUGAGAUCUGAGUGGGCUGAUGGGAUAGGAGGAGAGCACGGACCGGACCGAGAGAAAUAGGGUGCGGACCUGAAGCGUCUCCUCCAGCCUCACCUCCCUGGAUUGACAGGAGCAUCUGUGUCCUGCCCCUCUUCAAGAGACAAUUUUACACCCUAGUGCCUCUCCCAAUUUAACGUUAGCUCCCCUUAAGCGUGCUGCUUCUGUCAAAUGUAGGUUGGGAAGACACCAGAGAACAGACUCUAAAGCAAGUAACUAUACUUUUUGACUUUGCUCGCUCUCAUGAGAUUCCUUGCAGAGCAGUAGCCCUCGUGGUACAUGGCACCUUCAGGGCCGAGGCCUCCUCAGGGACACAUUCACACCAUCUCCCUACUCAGAUUAUUUUUAUAAAAGGUCAAUUCUUUAUCUACCCAUUGAGCAAUCGAACACUAAGCACUACUCUUGCCCCCCCCCCCAAAACUCUUGUGUUUCAUUCUAUCACAUUAUUUUAGAACUAAGGACAUGCCUUA